AUUGAACGCUGGCGGCAGGCCUAACACAUGCAAGUCGAGCGGAUGAAGGGAGCUUGCUCCUGGAUUCAGCGGCGGACGGGUGAGUAAUGCCUAGGAAUCUGCCUGGCAGUGCGGUAUAACGUCCGGAAACGGGCGCUAAUACUGCAUACGACCUGAGGCAGAAAGUGGGGGAGCUUCGGACCUCACGCUAUCAGAUGAGCCUAGGUCGGAUUAGCUAGUUGGUGGGGUAGAGGCCUACCAAGGCGACGAUCCGUAACUGGUCUGAGAGGAUGAUCAGUCACACUGGGAGUGAGACACGGUCCAGACUCCUACGGGAAGCAGCAGUGGGGAAUCGUGGGCCAUGGGCGAAAACCUGAUCCAGCCGUGCCGCGUGUGUGGAGAAGGUCUUCGGAUGGUAAAGCACUUUAAGUUGGGAGGAAGGGCAGUAAGUUAAUACCUUGCUGUUUUGACGUUACCAGCAGAAUAAGCACCGGCUAACUUCGUG
This 484-nucleotide ribosomal RNA is filed under the name uncultured bacterium. RNAcentral's name for it is "partial 16S ribosomal RNA". It matches the Rfam family "Bacterial small subunit ribosomal RNA", at positions 30 to 507 of the family's 1533-position model. The record is from RNAcentral.